CGCACAUUGCGCCCCUUGGUAUUCCAUGGGGCAUGCCUGUUCGAGCGUCAUUUGUACCCUCAAGCUCUGCUUGGUGUUGGGUGUUGUCCAGUUUGGACUCGCCUCAAAACAAUUGGCAGCCGGCAUAUCUGGUCUUGGAGCGCAGCACAUUUUGCACUUCCAGCCUGAGAUGUUGGCACCCACAAGCCUAAUUUUUUACGCUUGACCUCGGAUCAGGUAGGGAUACCCGCUGAACUUAA
RNAcentral lists this unclassified non-coding RNA (239 nucleotides) under Phaeosphaeria sp. Its description in RNAcentral is "partial contains 5.8S ribosomal RNA, internal transcribed spacer 2, and large subunit ribosomal RNA". The record is from RNAcentral. Lineage: Eukaryota; Fungi; Ascomycota; Dothideomycetes; Pleosporales; Phaeosphaeriaceae.